RNAcentral lists this ribosomal RNA (497 nucleotides) under uncultured bacterium. RNAcentral describes it as "partial 16S ribosomal RNA". It matches the Rfam family "Bacterial small subunit ribosomal RNA", at positions 28 to 507 of the family's 1533-position model. The record is from RNAcentral.
GAUGAACGCUGGCGGCGUGCCUAAUACAUGCAAGUCGAGCGAACAGACGAGGAGCUUGCUCCUUUGACGUUAGCGGCGGACGGGUGAGUAACACGUAGGUAACCUACCUAUAAGACUGGGAUAACUUCGGGAAACCGGAGCUAAUACCGGAUAAUAUUUCGAACCGCAUGGUUCGAUAGUGAAAGAUGGCUUUGCUAUCACUUAUAGAUGGACCUGCGCCGUAUUAGCUAGUUGGUAAGGUAACGGCUUACCAAGGCAACGAUACGUAGCCGACCUGAGAGGGUGAUCGGCCACACUGGAACUGAGACACGGUCCAGACUCCUACGGGAGGCAGCAGUAGGGAAUCUUCCGCAAUGGGCGAAAGCCUGACGGAGCAACGCCGCGUGAGUGAUGAAGGUCUUCGGAUCGUAAAACUCUGUCAUUAGGGAAGAACAAACGUGUAAGUAACUGUGCACGUCUUGACGGUACCUAAUCAGAAAGCCACGGCUAACUACGUG